Molecule: ribosomal RNA, 292 nt
Filed under: uncultured microorganism
Description: partial 16S ribosomal RNA
Rfam family: Bacterial small subunit ribosomal RNA
Source: RNAcentral
GUGCCAGCAGCCGCGGUAAUACGUAGGGUGCAAGCGUUGUCCGGAAUUAUUGGGCGUAAAGAGCUCGUAGGCGGUUUGUCGCGUCUGCUGUGAAAUCCGGAGGCUCAACCUCCGGCCUGCAGUGGGUACGGGCAGACUAGAGUGCGGUAGGGGAGAUUGGAAUUCCUGGUGUAGCGGUGGAAUGCGCAGAUAUCAGGAGGAACACCGAUGGCGAAGGCAGAUCUCUGGGCCGUAACUGACGCUGAGGAGCGAAAGCAUGGGGAGCGAACAGGAUUAGAUACCCUGGUAGUCC